GAUGAAGAACGCAGCGAAAUGCGAUAAGUAAUGUGAAUUGCAGAAUUCAGUGAAUCAUCGAAUCUUUGAACGCACAUUGCGCCCGCUAGUAUUCUGGCGGGCAUGCCUGUCCGAGCGUCAUUUCAACCCUCAAGCCCCCGGGCUUGGUGUUGGGGAUCGGCGAGCCUCCGCGCCCGCCGUCCCCUAAAUCUAGUGGCGGUCUCGCUGUAGCUUCCUCUGCGUAGUAGUACACCUCGCACUGGGAAACAGCGCGGCCACGCCGUUAAACCCCCAACUUCUGAACGUUUGACCUCGGAUCAGGUAGGAAUACCCGCUGAACUUAAGCAUAUCAAUAAGCGGAGGA
RNAcentral lists this unclassified non-coding RNA (343 nucleotides) under soil metagenome. RNAcentral's name for it is "partial contains 5.8S ribosomal RNA, internal transcribed spacer 2, and large subunit ribosomal RNA". The stretch from base 1 to 120 matches the Rfam family "5.8S ribosomal RNA", at positions 35 to 154 of the family's 154-position model. The record is from RNAcentral.